RNAcentral lists this ribosomal RNA (358 nucleotides) under Alphaproteobacteria bacterium. RNAcentral describes it as "bacterial SSU rRNA". It matches the Rfam family "Bacterial small subunit ribosomal RNA", at positions 1 to 374 of the family's 1533-position model. The record is from RNAcentral. Lineage: Bacteria; Pseudomonadati; Pseudomonadota; Alphaproteobacteria.
UCAACUUGAGAGUUUGAUCCUGGCUCAGAGCGAACGCUGGCGGCAGGCUUAACACAUGCAAGUCGAACGAGAAGCCGGGCUUCGGUCCGGGGGAAAGUGGCGCACGGGUGAGUAACGCGUGGGAAUUUACCUAGCAGUACGGAAUAACUCCGGGAAACCGGUGCUAAUACCGUAUACGCCCCGAGGGGGAAAGAUUUAUCGCUGUUAGAUGAGCCCGCGUCGGAUUAGCUUGUUGGUGGGGUAAAAGCCCACCAAGGCUACGAUCCGUAGCUGGUCUGAGAGGACGAUCAGCCACACUGGGACUGAGACACGGCCCAGACUCCUACGGGAGGCAGCAGUGGGGAAUAUUGGACAAUGG